AGUUGAGUCAGAAGAGAGACCCCAGCAAAGAAAAUACAUUUCCUCUCCACAGGUCAGUUGACAAUGUUUACAGAUACUCUGGCCACUCCCCAUAGUCACAUGCCACUGAAGACAACCCCCAGCCUCACAGUCACAUAUUACCCCAGGUACUAUGGUAGGAUGAGAUCAUCCUCGGAGAUAAUGCAAAUGCUAAUGCCCUAAUCCUGGGAAUCAUAAUGCAGAAGAUUUCCUGACCCAGUGAUUCCCAAGGACAACAUAGGUGUGAUGUAUUCGAACUUCGGAGUGGCUCUGAAAAUGAGUUCUGGUCCUGCUUCUGCCUCAGACAACGUAGGUGUGAUGUAUCCGAACUUCGGAGUGGCCCUGAAAAUGAGUUCUGGUCCUGCUUCUGCCUCAGACAACGUAGGUGUGAUGGGCCUCAGCGUUGGGGAUGAUCAAGCAAGCGACACUGAUUGGCUGGGGAUGGCUAUAAAAGUAUGAUAGAGAUUCAACAGUAAUUUAACUUGAUCAUAGGGAGUUCAGUAGCAAAUGACUGUGUAAUUGGAGUUAGGGUCAUUCGCAUUCCUGCCUGACUGUUGUCCCCACCCACUUCCAGAACAUUCACUCAGUGUAGUUUAACCCUUAAUAUUACAUUAGUGUCCAGAAAGAUAUUCCCAUUUAAUCUUUCCACAUUACAGAAUAGAAGGAUCUGCUGAUGGGGAGUUGAAGAGGGGAGGGUGAAGGUUCAUGUAGAGCAUAUAUACUGACUGAGACCAAUUUAGUCAAUUGGCCUGGCCCUGGGUACAAACUUAAUGGAACAAA
This is a non-coding RNA of Chiloscyllium plagiosum (whitespotted bambooshark), 798 nucleotides long. Lineage: Eukaryota; Metazoa; Chordata; Chondrichthyes; Orectolobiformes; Hemiscylliidae. The record is from RefSeq and is a predicted model, not a curated record.